Molecule: non-coding RNA, 22 nt
Filed under: Gorilla gorilla (western gorilla)
Lineage: Eukaryota; Metazoa; Chordata; Mammalia; Primates; Hominidae
Also listed under: 2 other names
Gene: ggo-miR-34b
Source: miRBase by way of RNAcentral
AGGCAGUGUCAUUAGCUGAUUG